RNAcentral lists this ribosomal RNA (427 nucleotides) under Salganea incerta. RNAcentral's name for it is "partial 16S ribosomal RNA". Lineage: Eukaryota; Metazoa; Arthropoda; Insecta; Blattodea; Blaberidae. The record is from RNAcentral.
CUUUUCUUGAUUAAAUAUGAAGUAUAACCUGCUCAAUGAAAAUUUAAAUAGCCGCGGUAUGAUGACCGUGCAAAGGUAGCAUAAUCAUUAGUCUUUUAAUUGUAGGCUGGAAUGAAUGGUUGGACGAAAUAAUUUCUGUCUUAAUUUUAUUAAUUUGAAGUUAAUUUUUGUGUUAAAAAGCUCAAAUUAUUUUUUGGGACGAGAAGACCCUAUAGAGUUUUAUAUUUUUUAAAAAUUUAUUUUUUGUAUUUUAGUAAGUUACUAAAUUUAUUUUGUUGGGGUGAUGUAAAGAUAAAUAUAACUCUUUAUAUUUUUAUUUAUGAAUUAUUAUAUUUGUGAUCCAUUAUUAAUGAUUAAAAGAUUAAAUUACCUUAGGGAUAACAGCGUAAUCUUUUUAGAGAGUUCUUAUUGACAAUAAGGAUUGCGA